AAGUCGAGCGGUAGCACAGAGAGCUUGCUCUCGGGUGACGAGCGGCGGACGGGUGAGUAAUGUCUGGGAAACUGCCUGAUGGAGGGGGAUAACUACUGGAAACGGUAGCUAAUACCGCAUAAUGUCGCAAGACCAAAGUGGGGGACCUUCGGGCCUCAUGCCAUCAGAUGUGCCCAGAUGGGAUUAGCUAGUAGGUGGGGUAACGGCUCACCUAGGCGACGAUCCCUAGCUGGUCUGAGAGGAUGACCAGCCACACUGGAACUGAGACACGGUCCAGACUCCUACGGGAGGCAGCAGUGGGGAAUAUUGCACAAUGGGCGCAAGCCUGAUGCAGCCAUGCCGCGUGUGUGAAGAAGGCCUUCGGGUUGUAAAGCACUUUCAGCGGGGAGGAAGGCGGUGAGGUUAAUAACCUUGUCGAUUGACGUUACCCGCAGAAGAAGCACCGGCUAACUCCGUGCCAGCAGCCGCGGUAAUACGGAGGGUGCAAGCGUUAAUCGGAAUUACUGGGCGUAAAGCGCACGCAGGCGGUCUGUCAAGUCGGAUGUGAAAUCCCCGGGCUCAACCUGGGAACUGCAUUCGAAACUGGCAGGCUAGAGUCUUGUAGAGGGGGGUAGAAUUCCAGGUGUAGCGGUGAAAUGCGUAGAGAUCUGGAGGAAUACCGGUGGCGAAGGCGGCCCCCUGGACAAAGACUGACGCUCAGGUGCGAAAGCGUGGGGAGCAAACAGGAUUAGAUACCCUGGUAGUCCACGCCGUAAACGAUGUCGAUUUGGAGGUUGUGCCCUUGAGGCGUGGCUUCCGGAGCUAACGCGUUAAAUCGACCGCCUGGGGAGUACGGCCGCAAGGUUAAAACUCAAAUGAAUUGACGGGGGCCCGCACAAGCGGUGGAGCAUGUGGUUUAAUUCGAUGCAACGCGAAGAACCUUACCUGGUCUUGACAUCCACAGAACUUACCAGAGAUGGAUUGGUGCCUUCGGGAACUGUGAGACAGGUGCUGCAUGGCUGUCGUCAGCUCGUGUUGUGAAAUGUUGGGUUAAGUCCCGCAACGAGCGCAACCCUUAUCCUUUGUUGCCAGCGGUCCGGCCGGGAACUCAAAGGAGACUGCCAGUGAUAAACUGGAGGAAGGUGGGGAUGACGUCAAGUCAUCAUGGCCCUUACGACCAGGGCUACACACGUGCUACAAUGGCAUAUACAAAGAGAAGCGACCUCGCGAGAGCAAGCGGACCUCAUAAAGUAUGUCGUAGUCCGGAUUGGAGUCUGCAACUCGACUCCAUGAAGUCGGAAUCGCUAGUAAUCGUAGAUCAGAAUGCUACGGUGAAUACGUUCCCGGGCCUUGUACACACCGCCCGUCACACCAUGGGAGUGGGUUGCAAAAGAAGUAGGUAGCUUAACCUUCGGGAGGGCG
This 1401-nucleotide ribosomal RNA is filed under the name Klebsiella pneumoniae. RNAcentral describes it as "bacterial SSU rRNA". It matches the Rfam family "Bacterial small subunit ribosomal RNA". Lineage: Bacteria; Pseudomonadati; Pseudomonadota; Gammaproteobacteria; Enterobacterales; Enterobacteriaceae. The record is from RNAcentral.